Long non-coding RNA from Carassius auratus (goldfish), 994 nucleotides. RefSeq lists it as uncharacterized. The transcript is spliced from 2 exons. The record is from RefSeq and is a predicted model, not a curated record. Lineage: Eukaryota; Metazoa; Chordata; Actinopteri; Cypriniformes; Cyprinidae.
UUUUACCAUUGCGCAGCAAAGUUGAAGAGAAGAGACAUUAGCCGAUCCAAUACAAGCAUAAUAUGUGUGCGUGCAUCCUAAAAACCACACCUGUUAUAUGCUAAAUGGGAAAGUAAAGUCCUCAAAGAAAGAACUGUUGUUGACUGAGUUCCUGGGCUCUGACCGGCCUACCAGUGCAAGUGAUCCCUUCCACAGUCUUUUGAUAACUCACAUUCCAAAUCCUACAGCGGGAUUUUGUAAAAUCACGAAAUACAUCAGUAUGUUUUGUGUCUACAUCUUGGCAGCACCGUUUUGGCAAUUACAUCCAACUCAGACCGAAAUUGUGACCGGGUAUAUAUCUGUUUCACAUGUAUAUGCAUAGAUUCAAUAAAAAUAAUAACAACAAAUACUUAAAACAGGUUGAAAUAAUGACUAAAUUGCAGCAUUGCUUUGCAAUCACUUAACCACACUGGGCUCUUUUUGAUUAUAAUUUUUUUUUUAAACAAGAUAAAGUGAAUAUAUUUACUUUGUAAAUAAUUUUUUUUUUCCUGCUAGUCUUGCUUGGACAUCUUUUCACAAACCAUGAGGAGACGUGAAAGACGUCAGUGGACGUCUAUUCACAACCUCUUUAAAACCACUUAAAAACUACUUGGUGCUCUUUAAUUAAAUAUUGCAGUAUUAAUCAAGGUGUAAGCACAGCUUUUGCAUAUUCCACAAGGAUUUCACAGAGGGUCAUGAUGGACGUGUAACGCACGUGUAAAUGACGUCACUAGGUGACGUCCUCUCACAACCGAUUCACAACGUGGGUAAAUAUUGAACUACACGUAUCUAAAAGUCAAAGAAACAAUUAUAGAUGAAACCCCAUAGAACUAUAAACGUGUACAAACAUAUCUGAAUGCAUUUUUGAGGAAGUGUUCUGUGUUACAUAUUUCUACCGAUUUAUGCCGUCCUACCGCGACUAUUUUUGGCCGGCCACACGACGUCGCCGUCGGACCAAUGUUUACUGGGAGUCGAG